CAAGUGCUACAGCAACCUCCAGCUCCAGAGCAGCUUCGUCACCGACCAGAACCAGCCCCUGCCCAGGUUGAACGGUACCCAGGUGCUGCAGUACAGCCGGGACGUGCGGAAGCUCUACCUGAGCGUCAACAUCACCAACGUGCCCACCACCCCCUCCAACGGCGAGGAUGCCCACGAGGCGCUGCUCAACCUCACGGUGCCGGCCAGCCUGCUGCCCUCCUCCGUCCGCCCGAGCGGAGCCUGUACCUUUGCGGAGACGGUGCUGUGCGAGCUGGGCAACCCUUUUAAGAGGAACCAGAGGGCGGAGCUGAUCAUCACCUUCGAGGC
This is a long non-coding RNA of Pygoscelis adeliae (Adelie penguin), 327 nucleotides long. RefSeq lists it as uncharacterized. The record is from RefSeq and is a predicted model, not a curated record. The transcript is spliced from 4 exons. NCBI's taxonomy places the organism in Eukaryota, Metazoa, Chordata, Aves, Sphenisciformes, Spheniscidae.